AUAUUCAGGGUGUAGGGAGAUCGUAGGAUCCAAUUGCACGGUAACUUUCCGCUGAAGGAUAUCUUUGAUAUUGUUAUCAAAAUUUUAUAUUUUUUAGAUAGACAUGAUAUAUUUCUAGAUGUCAAUCUUGUCUUGUGAGUUUGAUUGAAUAAAAGAGUUUAAUUCAAUCAUCAAUUAGAAAGAGUUCUAAUUGCUGAAAUCGGAUUAGCUCGAUUGGAUCU
RNAcentral lists this long non-coding RNA (221 nucleotides) under Elaeis guineensis (African oil palm). RNAcentral describes it as "long non-coding RNA (EGUI_LNC057944)". The record is from RNAcentral. Lineage: Eukaryota; Viridiplantae; Streptophyta; Magnoliopsida; Arecales; Arecaceae.